Molecule: ribosomal RNA, 272 nt
Filed under: uncultured Lachnospiraceae bacterium
Lineage: Bacteria; Bacillati; Bacillota; Clostridia; Lachnospirales; Lachnospiraceae
Description: partial 16S ribosomal RNA
Rfam family: Bacterial small subunit ribosomal RNA
Source: RNAcentral
UCUGAGUGCUUGCACUUGGAUGGACUGAGUGGCGGACGGGUGAGUAACGCGUGGGUAACCUGCCUUAUACAGGGGGAUAACAGUUGGAAACGACUGCUAAUACCGCAUAAGCGCACGGUAUCGCAUGAUACAGUGUGAAAAACUCCGGUGGUAUAAGAUGGACCCGCGUCUGAUUAGCCAGUUGGCGGGGUAACGGCCCACCAAAGCGACGAUCAGUAGCCGGCCUGAGAGGGUGAACGGCCACAUUGGGACUGAGACACGGCCCAAACUCC